GAUGAACGCUGGCGGCGUGCCUAAUACAUGCAAGUCGAGCGAACGGACGAGAAGCUUGCUUCUCUGAUGUUAGCGGCGGACGGGUGAGUAACACGUGGAUAACCUACCUAUAAGACUGGGAUAACUUCGGGAAACCGGAGCUAAUACCGGAUAAUAUUUUGAACCGCAUGGUUCAAAAGUGAAAGACGGUCUUGCUGUCACUUAUAGAUGGAUCCGCGCUGCAUUAGCUAGUUGGUAAGGUAACGGCUUACCAAGGCAACGAUGCAUAGCCGACCUGAGAGGGUGAUCGGCCACACUGGAACUGAGACACGGUCCAGACUCCUACGGGAGGCAGCAGUAGGGAAUCUUCCGCAAUGGGCGAAAGCCUGACGGAGCAACGCCGCGUGAGUGAUGAAGGUCUUCGGAUCGUAAAACUCUGUUAUUAGGGAAGAACAUAUGUGUAAGUAACUGUGCACAUCUUGACGGUACCUAAUCAGAAAGCCACGGCUAACUACGUGCCAGCAGCCGCGGUAAUACGUAGGUGGCAAGCGUUAUCCGGAAUUAUUGGGCGUAAAGCGCGCGUAGGCGGUUUUUUAAGUCUGAUGUGAAAGCCCACGGCUCAACCGUGGAGGGUCAUUGGAAACUGGAAAACUUGAGUGCAGAAGAGGAAAGUGGAAUUCCAUGUGUAGCGGUGAAAUGCGCAGAGAUAUGGAGGAACACCAGUGGCGAAGGCGACUUUCUGGUCUGUAACUGACGCUGAUGUGCGAAAGCGUGGGGAUCAAACAGGAUUAGAUACCCUGGUAGUCCACGCCGUAAACGAUGAGUGCUAAGUGUUAGGGGGUUUCCGCCCCUUAGUGCUGCAGCUAACGCAUUAAGCACUCCGCCUGGGGAGUACGACCGCAAGGUUGAAACUCAAAGGAAUUGACGGGGACCCGCACAAGCGGUGGAGCAUGUGGUUUAAUUCGAAGCAACGCGAAGAACCUUACCAAAUCUUGACAUCCUUUGACAACUCUAGAGAUAGAGCUUUCCCCUUCGGGGGACAAAGUGACAGGUGGUGCAUGGUUGUCGUCAGCUCGUGUCGUGAGAUGUUGGGUUAAGUCCCGCAACGAGCGCAACCCUUAAGCUUAGUUGCCAUCAUUAAGUUGGGCACUCUAAGUUGACUGCCGGUGACAAACCGGAGGAAGGUGGGGAUGACGUCAAAUCAUCAUGCCCCUUAUGAUUUGGGCUACACACGUGCUACAAUGGACAAUACAAAGGGCAGCGAAACCGCGAGGUCAAGCAAAUCCCAUAAAGUUGUUCUCAGUUCGGAUUGUAGUCUGCAACUCGACUGCAUGAAGCUGGAAUCGCUAGUAAUCGUAGAUCAGCAUGCUACGGUGAAUACGUUCCCGGGUCU
RNAcentral lists this ribosomal RNA (1372 nucleotides) under uncultured bacterium. RNAcentral describes it as "bacterial SSU rRNA". It matches the Rfam family "Bacterial small subunit ribosomal RNA", at positions 28 to 1381 of the family's 1533-position model. The record is from RNAcentral.